This 335-nucleotide unclassified non-coding RNA is filed under the name soil metagenome. RNAcentral describes it as "partial contains 5.8S ribosomal RNA, internal transcribed spacer 2, and large subunit ribosomal RNA". The stretch from base 1 to 120 matches the Rfam family "5.8S ribosomal RNA", at positions 35 to 154 of the family's 154-position model. The record is from RNAcentral.
GAUGAAGAACGUAGCGAAAUGCGAUAAGUAAUGUGAAUUGCAGAAUUCAGUGAAUCAUCGAAUCUUUGAACGCACAUUGCGCCCAUUAGUAUUCUAGUGGGCAUGCCUGUUCGAGCUUCAUUUCAACCCUUAAGCCUAGCUUAGUAUUGGGAAUCGACUUUACUGUCGUUCCUCAAAUUCAACGGCGGAUUUAUAGCAAUCUCUGAACGUAGUAAUUUUUUUCCUCGUUUUUGAAAUACUAUAAACCUCAGCCGCUAAACCCCCAAUUUUUUUAUGGUUGACCUCGGAUCAGGUAGGAAUACCCGCUGAACUUAAGCAUAUCAAUAAGCGGAGGA